GUCUACAGCCAUGCUACUCUCAACAAGCACGAUGUCUGAUCUCGGAAGCUAAGCAGGGUUGGGCCUGGUUAGUACUUGGAUGAGAGACCACCUAGGAAGACCAGGUGCUGAAGGCA
Molecule: ribosomal RNA, 116 nt
Filed under: Pteropus alecto (black flying fox)
Lineage: Eukaryota; Metazoa; Chordata; Mammalia; Chiroptera; Pteropodidae
Source: RNAcentral